This 253-nucleotide ribosomal RNA is filed under the name uncultured bacterium. RNAcentral describes it as "partial 16S ribosomal RNA". It matches the Rfam family "Bacterial small subunit ribosomal RNA", at positions 524 to 776 of the family's 1533-position model. The record is from RNAcentral.
UACGAAGGGGGCUAGCGUUGUUCGGAAUCACUGGGCGUAAAGGGCGCGUAGGCGGCCGAUCAAGUCGGGGGUGAAAGCCUGUGGCUUAACCACAGAAUGGCCUUCGAUACUGUUUGGCUUGAGACCGGAAGAGGUUAGUGGAACUGCGAGUGUAGAGGUGAAAUUCGUAGAUAUUCGCAAGAACACCAGUGGCGAAGGCGGCUGACUGGUCCGGUUCUGACGCUGAGGCGCGAAAGCGUGGGGAGCGAAUGGG